UUUGUGUCCACAUGGUCCGCAUGUCUCUCUAGUGUUGGUUUCUAUAACCAGGUUCUUCUUCUUAUUAUUAUUUUCAAUCAACUUACAUAUAAAACCUCAGGUUUUCCUCUCAACAAAGACUAAACAUUCACAAUUAUGAACCCCAUACAAACAACCGAGAGGAUGUUGGACAGAAAGUUGGGACACAGUUUCCCUAACCUUUCAAAUAGGGAGAAAUAGUUAAUAUAAUUAGUUUUUAGCCUUUAUGGGAACUGUCACUACAUAAUACCUCUGAUGUUUUCCCGUGUUUUUUUCUCCUCCCCAUCCAUAUACCAGAUAGGGCACAAAGGACAAACAUACUCAUUGUUUCUAUAUGUUGUAUUUCCCUGUGUGUGAGCCCAGGUUAGGCAGUGGGAAGAUCCCAGGACAUCUAUUUCCCUCAUGAAACUUCUGUUCUACAGAUACUGCCAAGUGGCAGAUUUUUGUUAGUAGACCCUUUAACUCUGAACACCUGAUUUUCUAAGCAAGGUCUUUGUUCCUCAGGUGGUGUAGACUUUCUUGAGUUAAGAGAGGGAGAUCAUUGGAGACACCUGAGAGGGACAAUCAAAUAUAAAAUCACAUGACCUAGCAGCCCCUUUCCCAAUUUCUCACUUUGUGUUGAGGUUGGCAGCCUUGCUAUGACAUUUAUUACGAUGAAAGUCUUUCUGGGAUUGGGAGUACUGUACCUUUUAGUUGGCCUAAGCUGGACUCAGGAUCCAACAGUGACCGUGGAGUGUAGUCUUCUCACAUUACGGGUGACGGUGAAAAAACAUCUGUUUAAUGAUGUGCCUGUGGCUCCUGAAGAACUGAUGCUUGGGACAGGCUGUCCAGUUACCGGGGAAACAUCAGCUAUAUAUGAGUUACACUAUCCUGUGUCAGAGUGUGGAAUUCAUUUUGAGGCUUUUCAAACACUUGUACUCUAUAAAACCACACUCUAUUAUAAGCCAACAAAUCCCUUUCCGGCACUAACAUUUCCCUUGUUCUGCACAGUGUUCAAGAAACUAUUCUUACCAAAAUUAAAUGAUCCUGUUCGUGUUCUGCCGCCUCAGGAAGCCCCAACACUGAAUGGCAUAAAAAUGCGGAGUAGUGUUUCUGUUCCCUCCUAUUGGAAUAGAGACUUCCCUGGGAUGUUGGUGGAGCAAGGCAUAAAAUCUCUUCAGAACAGAUACUGAAUCUUGGAACCAGUUCUUUCCCCAUCUUGGCUCCAAGCUCCGUAGUCUGCCACCUUCUUUGAUGUGGAGAGAAUGGACUAUCUGCAUCCUGAGAUUUCCAAGAAGGUAGCCACAGGACAGUCAAGGCCAGGGAAACAUGAACCUCACGCAAUUCUGGUUCCAAACUUUGGGAAACUGGCAUUGUUCAAGCUUGCAUUGGUGAGAUUCUCAGUGGGUUUAAAAAAAUUCCUCUAAAAAAUUAAACCUAAGCAUAUUGCCCUUUUUAAAUUCUCUCUAUACAAGGGCACUAUGUGGAUUUUAUAUAGAGAUUUAUUAGAAUGUGUAUAUUCAGCAUUGCAAUGAUGUAUAUGUAUACAUUAGUUUAUGUGCAUGUAUUAUAAUGAUUUGUUAAUUUAAUAAAAUUUUACGUAUACGUCUCA
Molecule: long non-coding RNA, 1609 nt
Filed under: Monodelphis domestica (gray short-tailed opossum)
Lineage: Eukaryota; Metazoa; Chordata; Mammalia; Didelphimorphia; Didelphidae
Description: lncRNA (ENSMODG00000044454.1)
Source: RNAcentral